This 340-nucleotide long non-coding RNA is filed under the name Androctonus crassicauda. The record is from RNAcentral. Lineage: Eukaryota; Metazoa; Arthropoda; Arachnida; Scorpiones; Buthidae.
AUCGAAGCAGCAAAGAGCAGUAUUAUGCAGAUUUAAGAUCAAUUCGGGUAUUUGGUGGUAGUACUCGAACCACAGAUGCGAACAAGUCUUUCGCCAUCACAGUUUGGCACGGAGCCACACUCAAGAACUAAGGUUUCCCGACUUGUUUCAGCCCUUUAUGAGCACCAUGAAUGUACACCAACGAACUUUGAUGUACACAGCCAGCCUUUAUCAGAUUCUUCUUUUUAUUGCUUGAAUGGCCCAAUUAGCCGUACAUAUGGUGGCAUCUUUUUUUUUUGUUAUAUCUUACAAUCCCGUCGGUGAUACUAAAAAGCUUUCAAAACAAAAGUUUUGUUUUUCA